RNAcentral lists this ribosomal RNA (101 nucleotides) under Tenacibaculum sp. RNAcentral describes it as "partial 23S ribosomal RNA". It matches the Rfam family "Eukaryotic large subunit ribosomal RNA", at positions 11 to 111 of the family's 3401-position model. The record is from RNAcentral. Lineage: Bacteria; Pseudomonadati; Bacteroidota; Flavobacteriia; Flavobacteriales; Flavobacteriaceae.
UAGAAUGGGAUUACCCCCUGAAUUUAAGCAUAUUAUUAAGGGGAGGAAAAGAAAGUAACAACGAUUCCCCCAGUAGCGGCGAGUGAAGCGGGAAAAGCCCA